Molecule: long non-coding RNA, 515 nt
Organism: Nymphaea colorata (pocket water lily)
Lineage: Eukaryota; Viridiplantae; Streptophyta; Magnoliopsida; Nymphaeales; Nymphaeaceae
Exons: 2
Source: RefSeq, a predicted model, not a curated record
AAUUAUUUUUGAAGAUAGUGAACUUGUGGGCGAAUUUGAUCUUACCUAAAAUGUCCUCAGUUGCCUCAAAUUCGUCUUGGCAGAGGAGGAGGUCAAAGGGAUCAACUAAAGGGUAGCAGAGGAAUGGAGGAGGAGCAAUCACAGACAUGGAAGGGAAGAAAGGUAGCUUCCUUUUUCUUUUCCUACCACCACUCUCCUCUUUCCUAUCUUCUCCAUUGUCGAACUAUUACCUCACUUCGUCAUUCCCCGAUUUCCUCCAACAUGCAUAGCAUCAUCUAGUUGUAAAGAUGCUUCUUGUUGCUGUCAUAGUAUUUUAGAAGAGGAAAAUAAUAAUUUUUUUUUCUGGAGUUGCCAUCACCAUAUUCAUAUGACACUACCUCUACCUGUUGAAAUAACCUUGAAGAGGAGGCUCACUUAUAAUGCUUAUUAUCUAUACAUUGUCCUCUUAUAACUAAAUAACUAAAUGCAUAGAAUGAACAAUAUUUUGGUAAAUGUAAUCUCAUCAUUGAAGAGCC